GGCCACACCACAAUCAGGCCAAGGCUGGCUUAAUGAGGGCCCAGCUGGCCCUUAUAAGAGGGCUGGGGCCAGAAACCAGAGACAGACUCUCUCUAGGUAUGAGAGGGAGGGAUCUGGCUUCAGGGAGCUGAGAGAAGAUUAUUUGGGAGCAGGCAACACUCACCUGUGUGCCCAGGUGCCUGAUGAUGUCAACAGUAAAGGAGAUCUUGAGCAUCCCAGUGGUGAUACUGGACAGAGUUCUAGACGCUUGCAUGGGCGUACUGGCUGUCAAAGCUGAGGACAGCACUCUGUUGGUCCAGCAAAGUAGUCCAGCCACAGCAACAUGGGGAGAGCAAUUCUAACUUGGGAUCAUUUCAAGCUGCACAACCCCUCGGAAGAUCCCAGCUGUUAUAGCCAGAGAUUUGAGAAAAUCUUGAUCCCCACCCCUAAAGCAACUGAAGAAAUACAGACUGGAUCCAACUUCUGCCCCAUGCUGGACAAGGGCACCACCACAAG
Mauremys mutica (yellowpond turtle) is the source of this 495-nucleotide long non-coding RNA. RefSeq lists it as uncharacterized. NCBI's taxonomy places the organism in Eukaryota, Metazoa, Chordata, Testudines, Geoemydidae. The record is from RefSeq and is a predicted model, not a curated record. The transcript has 4 exons.